RNAcentral lists this ribosomal RNA (207 nucleotides) under uncultured bacterium. Its description in RNAcentral is "partial 16S ribosomal RNA". It matches the Rfam family "Bacterial small subunit ribosomal RNA", at positions 568 to 774 of the family's 1533-position model. The record is from RNAcentral.
CACGUAGGCGGCUUGUUAAGUCAGGGGUGAAAUCCUGGAGCUCAACUCCAGAACUGCCUUUGAUACUGGCGAGCUUGAGUCCGGGAGAGGUGAGUGGAACUGCGAGUGUAGAGGUGAAAUUCGUAGAUAUUCGCAAGAACACCAGUGGCGAGGGCGGCUCACUGGCCCGGUACUGACGCUGAGGUGAAAAGCGUAGGGGAGCAAACA